Molecule: ribosomal RNA, 533 nt
Filed under: Bifidobacterium bifidum
Lineage: Bacteria; Bacillati; Actinomycetota; Actinomycetes; Bifidobacteriales; Bifidobacteriaceae
Description: bacterial SSU rRNA
Rfam family: Bacterial small subunit ribosomal RNA
Source: RNAcentral
GGUGGUAAUGCCGGAUGUUCCACAUGAUCGCAUGUGAUUGUGGGAAAGAUUCUAUCGGCGUGGGAUGGGGUCGCGUCCUAUCAGCUUGUUGGUGAGGUAACGGCUCACCAAGGCUUCGACGGGUAGCCGGCCUGAGAGGGCGACCGGCCACAUUGGGACUGAGAUACGGCCCAGACUCCUACGGGAGGCAGCAGUGGGGAAUAUUGCACAAUGGGCGCAAGCCUGAUGCAGCGACGCCGCGUGAGGGAUGGAGGCCUUCGGGUUGUAAACCUCUUUUGUUUGGGAGCAAGCCUUCGGGUGAGUGUACCUUUCGAAUAAGCGCCGGCUAACUACGUGCCAGCAGCCGCGGUAAUACGUAGGGCGCAAGCGUUAUCCGGAUUUAUUGGGCGUAAAGGGCUCGUAGGCGGCUCGUCGCGUCCGGUGUGAAAGUCCAUCGCUUAACGGUGGAUCUGCGCCGGGUACGGGCGGGCUGGAGUGCGGUAGGGGAGACUGGAAUUCCCGGUGUAACGGUGGAAUGUGUAGAUAUCGGAAAA